Molecule: ribosomal RNA, 570 nt
Filed under: uncultured bacterium
Lineage: Bacteria
Description: bacterial SSU rRNA
Rfam family: Bacterial small subunit ribosomal RNA
Source: RNAcentral
UCGAACGCUCACCUUCGGGUGGGAGUGGCAGACGGGUGAGUAACACGGGGAACGUACCCUUUGGUUCGGGACAACUCUGGGAAACUGGAGCUAAUACCGGAUACGCCCUUUUGGGGAAAGGUUUACUGCCAAAGGAUCGGCCCGCGUCUGAUUAGCUAGUUGGUGGGGUAACGGCCUACCAAGGCGACGAUCAGUAGCUGGUCUGAGAGGAUGAUCAGCCACACUGGGACUGAGACACGGCCCAGACUCCUACGGGAGGCAGCAGUGGGGAAUAUUGGACAAUGGGCGCAAGCCUGAUCCAGCCAUGCCGCGUGAGUGAUGAAGGCCUUAGGGUUGUAAAGCUCUUUUAUCCGGGACGAUAAUGACGGUACCGGAGGAAUAAGCCCCGGCUAACUUCGUGCCAGCAGCCGCGGUAAUACGAAGGGGGCUAGCGUUGCUCGGAAUCACUGGGCGUAAAGGGCGCGUAGGCGGCGUUUUAAGUCGGGGGUGAAAGCCUGUGGCUCAACCACAGAAUGGCCUUCGAUACUGGGACGCUUGAGUCUGGUAGAGGUUGGUGGAACUGCGAGUGUA